ACCCAUGCAAGAGUAAAUUUUAAUGCGAAAAAGUGCACAAAUAAAACUUAAAAAUAUGUAUUUUAUGGCAUAUAUCACUUCACCAUUGGUAGAUUGCAUCGUCGAUCGCUUAAGACAUCCACGUUCGUGCUUCGGUGGGGGUGUAGCCGUGUGCAGUUGUCUAUAAGCCACCAUCUUCGGUCGACGUGAGAUGUCUGCUGCGCUGUUAACUCAUCUCAUUGCUCCAUCAUUGGUAGGAUGCGCUGCCAACUCUUUUUCUCCUCUAGAUCUUCGUCCUUCGCUCACAGUGGCCUCUCUUUCAUAGAUCUCAUUUUCAGAUCUGGUUGGUAAUGCCAUUCAACACCCGUUUUGUCGCCGAAGUUUUGUUUGGGUUGGAUUGAAGAGCUGAAAGGAUUUGAGGUGUUGUCCAAUAGGUGUUAAAGGUUCAAUUUUGGUGAAGUUUGGUAAGGGAAAAGAUACACUGCGAAUGAUAGGAGGAAUCUGUGAUUAGACCACUGGGAUUAGACAGAAGCUUCCGCUUAUGAUCUCAUGUUUUCACAUUCUAAAAUAUUAGUUUUGUAAUUGAAUUUAGAAAACUUUCAAUGCUUGCUAUGUUUGUUGGUUUAGACAAAAAUUUUGGUAAUGUUUUUUUUUUUAA
Benincasa hispida (wax gourd) is the source of this 637-nucleotide long non-coding RNA. RefSeq lists it as uncharacterized. The record is from RefSeq and is a predicted model, not a curated record. NCBI's taxonomy places the organism in Eukaryota, Viridiplantae, Streptophyta, Magnoliopsida, Cucurbitales, Cucurbitaceae.